This 5736-nucleotide long non-coding RNA is filed under the name Brassica napus (rape). RNAcentral describes it as "long non-coding RNA (BNAP_LNC014432)". The record is from RNAcentral. Lineage: Eukaryota; Viridiplantae; Streptophyta; Magnoliopsida; Brassicales; Brassicaceae.
AAGUAAGUUGUGCUGAAAUAGAGUUAUCAAGAUUUAGGUUAUGUAAGAUCCAUAUGUAGCGCAGAACUACAGUUGAAAGCUAUGAACUUUGUCUUCCUUACUGAUGGUUGUUGUCUGUUGGGUUAAUCUUCACUUGAAUCUAUCUAGAUAAAGUCACAACCUUUAAGGUUGUCUCUGUGAUAAAUCAUGUUCUAAGCAACUGAUUUUUUUGGUGGCAGAUAGUUGUAAUAUGGAGGCUACGAAGAAACAUAUAAUUCAAGAUAGAUCUUCAAUCUUUUAUCAUCAACCAUCUUCACUCCAGCAAAUGAACCUUUCUGUUCAAACAUUUGAUUGUUACUGCACACUUGAAUCCUCUCCAGGCACCAAGUCUCAUGCAUGUCUUAACAACAACACUUCUUCAACCACUAGCUUUUCCUCUAACGGCAACUCAUCAGAGUUGAAUCAUUCUCCUGAGGACAACAGCAACUCUCCCCUAAGCGGUUCUUCAGCAACAAACAACAACGAGGCAGAGCUUAGUCUCAUGCUGAAAGAAUUGGAGACUGCAAUGAUGGAGCCUGAACUAGACAACAAUGAUAAGAGAUUGUAUGUUAUUUGUUUCUGUUCCGCCCAACCUCCCUCUCUUGUAUUCUACACUCUAGAAGUACAAGCCAAAUAUAGAGAUCUUCUCAAGACGUCUCACACGUCGAGAGCCUGAGAUCAAGACCCUAGUCUAUAGAUCUUUACACAGUACUCAAAAAGACCCUUUUCUUUCUCUUCAAACUAUUAUUUAUACUCCUCUCAUUGUAACGGCCUCGUAACAACCCCUUAGUCCACGUCAACACUCACUUCCUCUUUAUCUUCUUCUUCUCUUCUCACAGCUCCCUUCUUCUUACGUUAAUACACCCUCCAUGGCUUAUCAUUACCCCCCCAAAUCAAAUUGAGCUUGUCCUCAAGCUCGAAUGCAGGGAAAUCACGCUUCAAAUCUCGGACACGCAUCCACGAUGUCUCAUGUAUAGGCAACCCUUUCCACUGCACCGAAACCUCCAAAUAACCCUCGUCAUCAUAACGAUAGCUAGCCAACGCCUCAGGGUAUAAGACAAAUUCCGCACUCUCUUUCAAUGCUGAUGGUAACUCAGUGACAAUAUGGUUCUUCCCCAACACCGGCUUCAACUGCGAAACAUGAAAAACCGGGUGUAUCUUACAGUCAGCAGGUAGUUGCAAGCGAUAAGCGACCGGCCCAAUCCUUUCCAAUACUGUAAAAGGACCAUAAUAUUUCGCGGCUAGUUUGCGGCAAAACGUUUUUGCCAAAGUCUUCUGACGGUAAGGUAUGAGUUUCAAGAAAACCGAAGAUCCCACCGAAAAUUGAAGAUCACGCCUAUGUUUAUCAGCACUGUUCUUCAUCGCAGCCUGUGCUUUUACUAAAAAUUCUUUAGCAUGUCGCAACAUCUCAUCUCGCUCUUUCAACAUAACCUCCAACUCAAAAUUCAUAGUAGAACCGUCUUCAUACCGCAGCAAUGAUGGUGGUUCCCGACCAUAUACCAACUUGAAAGGAGACGUAUGUGUGGAAGUGUGAUAGGAUGUAUUAUACCAAUACUCACACCAAGACAAAUACUUGCUCCAUUGCUUGGGAUUGGCAGACGUGAAACAACGCAAAUACGCCUCGAGGCAUCGGUUCACCACCUCAGUCUGACCAUCACUUUGAGGGUGAUAGGCCGUACUAAACUUCAGAGAUGUGCCUGCCAAGCGAAAACAUUCCCUCCAAAACUUACUGAGAAACACGCGGUCACGAUCUGAAAUGAUCGAAACUGGAUAACCAUGCAGCCUUACAAUCUCACGAAUGAACUUCUCUGCUACUGAUGUUGCAGUGUAAGGGUGUUUCAAAGGAAUGAAAUGUGCGUAUUUACUCAGUCGAUCCACUACCACCAUGAUCACAGAAAAAUCCUCUGCUUUCGGUAAACCAUCUAUGAAAUCCAUGGAAACUUCAGACCAAAUCAUAGUAGGGAGUGGUAUCGGUUGUAACAGACCACCAGGAUUCAGUGUUGAGUAUUUGUGGGUCUGGCAUAUAGUGCACUCCGACACAUAGUGUUGAACAUCGUCUUUUAACUUAGACCAAUGGAACAACCUUUGGAUGCGUUUGAUUGUUUUCAACACCCCAGAAUGCCCGCCAAAUACCCCGUCAUGUUAUUCCUGGAGUAUAAUCACAAUAUACUUUGAUGUCUUAGGGAUAACCAAUCUUCCUUUGUAAAAUAGUCGACCCUUGAUGAUCGAAUAAUGCUUCUUCGGAUUUCUUCCCUGAACGAUGUCUUGAAUUUCCUUCUGUAAACCCGGGUUAGAAUCAAUUUCCUCCAACAAAUCUUGCAUUUGCAGGUUAGAUGAAACUGUCAAUGCGCACAAAAGACCUUCAUUGUCAAACUUCGUAUCUUGUGAAAUACGAGAAAGUCCAUCUGCUGCUUUAUUUUCGAUCCCGGCUUUGUAGAUGAUCUCAAAGUCAAAACCCAAGAGUUUAGUGAGUCAUUUUUGAUAAUCCAUAGAAAUGUCUCUCUGCUCUAACAAAAAUUUCAAGCUCUUUUGAUCAGUGUAGACCAAAAACGUCUUCCCAUCAAAUAAUGUUUCCAGCGUUGAACCGCCAGCACAAUGGCCAUCAAUUCUCUUUCGUAUAUGGGGUUUUAGCUGCUCUUUGUCUGUUAACGCCUUACUGAAAUAGCAAAUGGGCUUGUGGUUCUGCAUAAGGAAUGCUCCCAAUCCAAACCCUGAAGCAUCAGCUUCGAUCACAAAUAUUUCUUGAAAAUUAGGCAGAGCAAGCACAGGAGCUGUUGUCAUUGCCAGCUUCAGUUGAUCAAAAGCUACCUGCGUUUUUCCCGACCAAUCAAAACUGUCCUUCUUUAAUAAGUCUGUCAACGGCCGUGCAAUAACCCCAUAACUCUUCACAUAUUUUCUGUAGUACCCAGUCAAUCCAAGAAACCCCCUCAAACUCUUUAUUGUUCUUGGAGAUGGCCACACUUGCAUUGCUUUCGUCUUUGCUGGGUCGGUGGCCACACCUUCUUUAGAAAUAAUAUGCCCCAAGUAGUCGACAUGAUCUUGCGCAAAAGCACAUUUCUUGCGGUUUGCUAGUAAAGAAUGACGCUUCAAGGUCUCUAAAACGAUCUUCAAAUGUUCACAAUGCUCCUCCACUGAUUUACUAUAAACCAGAAUAUCAUCAAAAAAUACCAAGACGAACUUCCUGAGAUACGGCUUGAAAACUGCAUUCAUCAGUGACUGAAAUGUUGCCGGGGCAUUACUGAGGCCAAACGGCAUCACAACAAACUCGUAAUGUCCCUCAUGUGUCCUAAAAGCUGUUUUUUUCGAUGUCAGCUUCACUCAUUCGUAUUUGAUGAUACCCUGAACGAAGAUCCAGUUUUGAAAAUACUGAUGCACCAUAUAACUCGUCCAAUAACAGAUCAAUAACUGGGAUAGGGAAUUUAUCAGGAAUUGUGAUCUUGUUUAAGCCCCUAUAGUCAAUACAAAAUCGCCAUCCCCCAUCUUUUUUCUUAACUAGCAGUAUUGGACUAGCAUAUGGGCUUCUACUUGGCCUGAUCACUCCAGAAUCCAACAUUUGCUUCACCAUUUUCUCUAUCACCGUCAUGUGUGCAUGAGGGUAACGAUAUGGACGAACUGCCACUGCUCCUGCCCCAUCAAUCAACCGUAUACUGUGCUCGAACUCUCUCUCAGGUGGUAGCUGAAUUGGUUCCUGAAAGACGGAUGAGUAAUGUUCGAGUAUUGACGCAAUCUCUGUUGGCAUGUCUUCAGCUAUUGGCACCUCUUCUGAUUUUAUAGUACCCAACUCAUGUAACUCAAACCCAGUCGUGAUAGACUCCAAUGAUGAUGUCUUCGAAUGUAAAGCUCGAUCUCCCACCAAAGUGACUCUUCCUUUUGAAGUAACAAACGAAAGCUCUUGAUUUUCCCAAUCAACUUCACAUUUCCCCAAGGUUCGAAGCCACUGGAUUCCCAAAACCACAUCUGCUCCCCCCGGAUCCAAUACAAUAAAGUCUGAUCAGAUAACCACCGACUGCAGUUGCAAUGUGACUCCUUUGCAAACACCACAACCAUUAACUGUAAUUCCUGUACCCACCAUGACUUUGAAAGAAGACAUGUCCUCUUGUUGCAGGUGAGCCUUUGUCAUCACUUCCGGAGAUAAGAAAUUGUGAGUAGCUCCACUAUCAAUUAAAACCACCACAUUCGUUUUUCCAAUACGGCCCUGAAUCUUAGUAGUAGUUGGAGAAGACCAUCCCAUGUACGAAUACAAUGACAUCUCCAUCACUUCUGUAGUAGUACCUUGCAAUUCUUCACACGAAUCAUGAAACUCUUCCUCAAUUAGCUCAACUUCACACCCCUGUGCCACCACCAUUAUCUGAAGAUGUUUAUUCUUACAAAUAUUGUUGUGAGAUCUCGUCCACUUCUCAUCGCAAGAGAAACAAAUUCCAUUUUUUUCUUGUGUUCAAAUUCAGCAUCAGAAAGUUUCACUCGAUUCUGGCCCUUCAGAACAACAGCUUGAGUUGAUUGUUUGACACUUGGGUCAAGUUGCUUUUGCUUAUUGUUCCAAGCUUGGUUUGUUGGAGUAGCUAACGGUUUGAAGAAGGGACUUGUUCUCGACUUGACAAAACGUUUUUCUUGACCCUUCGCAGAUGAAAACAAACGACAAAACUCACUAUCUUCCAUCUUAAUCACUGCUUGAAUGUGAUCAGAUAAUGUGCGAGGCUCUUUCAUCAUUAUAACCUCCUUCAUUUCUCUUUUUAGCCCGUUGAAGAAGAUGUCAAUCUUGUGUGCUUCGGCUAACUUAAUCUGAGAAGCUAACUCUUGAAACUCCCGCACAUACUCAGCUAUCGUGCAUGUUUGUUGUAUACUGAACAGUCUUUUCCCCGGUGUUUUCUCAAAUGAUUCUGCAAAUCUCGCUAAUAGUCUCCUCUUGAAAUCGAACCAGUCAAUGAAAUCCCCAUACUCAAUCUCGUAGUUAAACCAGCAGAGAGCAUCUUCUUCCAAACUCAAAGAGGCUAAUUCCAACUGAUACUCCGGCGUUGACUGCAUCACUCGAAAAUACCUCUCUGCUUGUGCGAUCCAACCAAACGGAUUGAUACCAGAGAAGAUAGGCAUCUCUACUUUCUUAUAUAAUCCCUUUCGAUUCUCAGAUCUGUUCUCUACAUUCCGAUAACCUAGCUCAGGUUCCUUCCGGUACUGUUCGAAAUGUCUAGGAGAUGCCUGAUUCAAGUUUCGUGGAUCUUCUUGCGUCGGAUUAGCUCCACUCGAUUCCGGCUGUGAUGACCGAGGAUUCGAUUGUUGAAUCGUAGCGAUGAAAGCUGUCAGAGUCGAUUCAAGACUCGAGAAUCGCUCGUCCAUCUUCGUCUCCUUCGAUUGAUUGUUCACCUCCGUUGUCGCUACAAAUCUGUUGAAUCGGUCGUCGAGACUAUCGAAUCUCCGUCGUAACUCAUCGACGUUGUUAUUCAACGCACCGAUCCGCUGCAUUGAUUCUUCCAGAGUCGCCGAUCUCGUCAUCGUCGUCUCUUUCUCGUGGAACGAAUGCUCACCGCACCAAAUGAUAAGAGAUUGUAUGUUAUUUGUUUCUGUUCCGCCCAACCUCCCUCUCUUGUAUUCUACACUCUAGAAGUACAAGCCAAAUAUAGAGAUCUUCUCAAGACGUCUCACACGUCGAGAGCCUGAGAUCAAGACCCUAGUCUAUAGAUCUUUACACAGUACUCAAAAAGACCCUUUUCUUUCUCUUCAAAC